This 323-nucleotide non-coding RNA is filed under the name Nematostella vectensis (starlet sea anemone). RNAcentral's name for it is "Eukaryotic large subunit ribosomal RNA". It matches the Rfam family "Eukaryotic large subunit ribosomal RNA", at positions 1 to 318 of the family's 3401-position model. Lineage: Eukaryota; Metazoa; Cnidaria; Anthozoa; Actiniaria; Edwardsiidae. The record is from Rfam by way of RNAcentral.
UGACCUCAGAUCAGGCAAGGCUACCCGCUGAAUUUAAGCAUAUUAAUAAGCGGAGGAAAAGAAACUAACAAGGAUUCCCCUAGUAAUGGCGAAUGAAGCGGGAACAGCUCAAAUUUAAAAUCUCCGUUGCUUGCAACGGCGAAUUGUAGUUUCGAGAAGCACUUUCUCGGCGGAUCCGAGGUCGUCCAAGUUGCUUGGAACAGCACGUCGUAGAGGGUGAAAACNCCCGUCUGCGGCGACCUCGGCCGUUCACGAUGUGCUUUCGACGAGUCGGGUUGUUGGGAAUGCAGCCCAAAAUGGGUGGUAAACUCCAUCUAAAGCUG